This is a non-coding RNA of Arachis ipaensis, 206 nucleotides long. NCBI's taxonomy places the organism in Eukaryota, Viridiplantae, Streptophyta, Magnoliopsida, Fabales, Fabaceae. The record is from RefSeq and is a predicted model, not a curated record.
AUGAUGGUUGUGAGGGAACAGACACCGUCGAAAGCGCUUGCAAUAGUCCCAAUUCAGGUUUUUGUGCCGGCAUCCCAAACAACCACUGAGACAGAUUUUGAACCAACCCCUAUGCUACAGAUUGAAGGGACUAUAGAAACCACUCCUGAAACCCCCAAACAACUUCAAGAGACCACACCCACGAUUCCCCCAGCUCCAACUAAAAU